Lolium rigidum is the source of this 1383-nucleotide long non-coding RNA. RefSeq lists it as uncharacterized. The record is from RefSeq and is a predicted model, not a curated record. Lineage: Eukaryota; Viridiplantae; Streptophyta; Magnoliopsida; Poales; Poaceae. The transcript is spliced from 2 exons.
CCGCGCAUCGUUGGCCUCUUGCGCCGCCGGCACCGCCACCUCCCUAGUGGAUCGUGGGCAUCCUGGGUGCUCCACGCGCUUCCCAUCUCUGACCUUCUGCCUCGACGCGCCGCUCUCCUGCUGCCAAAUCGAACGGGAACGCCUCAGGUUGAAGGAGGAAAGAGCAGUUCAUCUGGAGAUACGCCCUCGUCGCCGCUCAGUCUGCAGACACCGGCGCCGCGCUCUAGUCGUCGCAGGUGCGCCUCUGCGGCACCCUGCUACCUGCGGGAUCCACUGGUCCUCCUCCGUCGCCUGGUUUCCCGAUGCCACAGCCGGUCGCAGGUCGCCGGUCCCCUGCGCCAUGGAGGAUCCCCGAUGCCGCUGCGAAGCCAUCGCCACAGUCCGCUCCGAAUUCGUUCGUCCACUCGAAGCUGCCCCCUCGAAGCUACCAUGUUAUUUUAUUUUCAAAGCCGCUGCAGCCGCACUUUUGAGGAACGCUACCCCAUGGCUGUGAUCUCGCGUUUGGCCCCUCUCGGGCAGCCAGCCGGCUGCUGAUGCAUCUUCCCUGGUGUUGCACGAGAGGAGCAGCUUGGUCAGUGAACGUUGUAUCCUGCAUCAACGAGAUGGCCAACCGUGGUUUUCUUUCCUUUAUUUUUCUUGUUAGCUCAAUUCAUAUCUGCAUCGCUCUGAACUUCUGAUGAACAUGGUUCUAUACUUCCUUUGAUCAUUAGGUAGCUUCUUUUAUAUGAUAUGCACUUCUAAUUUAAUUAUUUUUGAUCUGAACGUCACUGCGAUAUAGUGUUAUACUUCUGAUAAUUGUUGAUUUGAGCUUCCCUGUGAUGCCACAAAGCUUGACACGCCGCAGCUGCAGCCAAGCGAUGGAAGCAAGACACUGUUAUACGCCGGUGAGGGAGCCAAAGGAUGGCUUCUAGGUGCUGGAGUGCGGAGUCAGUAGGAGGACGCACGAGGCUGCUGCCAUGGGUAAAGCUUUGAUGAACCAAGAGCCCCCUGUUGCAGCAGCACGCAUGAAGUUCUAUCGCCUGCUACUAUAACACAGAGCAAAAGCGAAGCUUCUGCUGCUACUCGGAUUGGCUGAGUUUGAUUUGCUUGUUCGGAUUGAUUUGCUGAUAUUGAAAUAUAGUUGUGUGCAUAUGAAAGGAGAGAAAAGAUUGGUAGAGAUAUGCAUAGUGAUGUAGGGAUAUUAUCUAGGCCCAUAGAGUCGAGUUUAGAGAAAAUGAUCAAGAUGAAAAGUCUAGCUUUCCUAGUGCUAUCGUGCACUUGCUUGUAUUUUGCUGAAACAAUCUGGUGCGUGAGCUGCUGUGCACUAGGGCUGAAAGAAAGAAGAAAAAAGACUAGAUAGGCACGAUUGGGUUCACAUGAAAAAGACUUAUGUGUUUCUCCUCA